Molecule: non-coding RNA, 47 nt
Organism: Oikopleura dioica
Lineage: Eukaryota; Metazoa; Chordata; Appendicularia; Copelata; Oikopleuridae
Source: Rfam
AGAAGGGCCCUUUUUAGGGCCACAAAUGAUAUUUUAUUGAAGCGUUU